CGGAGGUGACCUUAUUGACACCUCCCUCCCAGAUGCGAUGAAUUGCCAUGGAGACCAUUAAUCCCGGUGUCAGCCGGAGCGUAAGGAGGAACCUGUAGUCAACAGCCACCCAGGGCCAGGGAGUUGGCUGAGGAAAGGCGGGCCCGCACGGCUGAAGGCUCACUUUCUCUCUCUGUGCAUUUCAUUUGUUUUUUCCAGAAAAGGAAACCGAGGAACAGAGAGUUAAUAAUUUAUCCAAGGUCACACGGCUAUAUGUGGUGAGACCAGGAUUCAAAACCCAGGCUGUCUGCCUUCAGAGCCUGUGCUGUUAAACUCUGUGCUGGUCAUUUGCAGAGGGAUCCCAAGCGACUGACUCACCUCCUAGGCUCAGCCGUGGACUCUGGGCUUCUCAGCAAAGACACGUGGCCAUCGGGAGACAAGUCCGGAGCCCUGUGGACAGGUGGCUGGCAUGCACUUUGCCCGGGGGGCCAGGCCCUCCUGCGCGGCUCCAGUGUCCUGAGCCCCGCCGAUACUGCAGAUGCCUAGACACCCGGCAAAGAAACCAGCCCCGGGACCCAGGGAAGAAGCGGAGCGAGCAGUUUCGGGGCCAGCAGGCGAUAGUUAAAGAGAGGGCAGCGGCUAGCUUUAUAGAUAUCCCUGAAUUUGCCAGAAAUAUACAAACGCCUCCAAGAAGCCCUGCGAGGCCUGCGUGGCCUCGAAUAUGCCAGAUCGAGGGUAAGUCCUGCUCCUGCCCCUGCUCCCGUCCCUUUAAGGCCCCAUCCCACGCUCAGACUGCAGCGAGAGCCUAGCCGGGACCUCCCUCCAGCCCACCUUCCCUCCUGCCACCAUUCACUUAUCUAUUUACUCGUUCAUUCCAUCAAGAAAUGCUCUGUACCUACUAUGUGCCAGACACUCAGGUAGCAAGACAGUGGCAGUGAAAACAGGCCCCUGGGGCUUACAUUUUGGUGGGAGAGGCCACCACUGCUCAGAGUGGUUUUUUUUUUUGUUGUUGUUGUUGUUUUUUUAAUUAUUU
This 1012-nucleotide long non-coding RNA is filed under the name Microcebus murinus (gray mouse lemur). RNAcentral describes it as "lncRNA (ENSMICG00000048828.1)". Lineage: Eukaryota; Metazoa; Chordata; Mammalia; Primates; Cheirogaleidae. The record is from RNAcentral.